UUAAGCAUAUCAAUAAGCGGAGGAAAAGAAACCAACAGGGAUUACCUCAGUAACGGCGAGUGAAGCGGUAACAGCUCAAAUUUGAAAGCUAGCUCUUUUAGGGUUCGCAUUGUAAUUUGUAGAAGAUGCUUCGGGUGUGGCCCCGGUCUAAGUUCCUUGGAACAGGACGUCAUAGAGGGUGAGAAUCCCGUAUGUGACUGGGUGCUUUCGCUCAUGUGAAGCUCUUUCGACGAGUCGAGUUGUUUGGGAAUGCAGCUCAAAAUGGGUGGUAAAUUUCAUCUAAAGCUAAAUAUUGGCCAGAGACCGAUAGCGCACAAGUAGAGUGAUCGAAAGAUGAAAAGCACUUUGGAAAGAGAGUUAAACAGUACGUGAAAUUGUUGAAAGGGAAGCGCUUGCAACCAGACUUGCGCGCUGAUGAUCAUCCGGGCUUCUGCCCGGUGCACUCGUCUGCGCUCAGGCCAGCAUCGGUUUCGGUGGUGGGAUAAAGGCCUUGGGAAUGUAGCUCCUCUCGGGGAGUGUUAUAGCCCUCGGUGCAAUGCCGCCUACCGGGACCGAGGACCGCGCUUCGGCUAGGAUGCUGGCGUAAUGGUUGUAAGCGACCCGUCUUGAAACACGGACCAAGGAGUCUAACAUCUAUGCGAGUGUUUGGGUGUCAAACCCAUACGCGUAAUGAAAGUGAACGGAGGUGAGAACCCUUAAGGGUGCAUCAUCGACCGAUCCUGAUGUCUUCGGAUGGAUUUGAGUAAGAGCAUAGCUGUUGGGACCCGAAAGAUGGUGAACUAUGCGUGAAUAGGGUGAAGCCAGAGGAAACUCUGGUGGAGGCUCGCAGCGGUUCUGACGUGCAAAUCGAUCGUCAAAUUUGCGUAUAGGGGCGAAAGACUAAUCGAACCAUCUAGUAGCUGGUUCCUGCC
This 911-nucleotide ribosomal RNA is filed under the name Cadophora luteo-olivacea. RNAcentral describes it as "LSU rRNA". It matches the Rfam family "Eukaryotic large subunit ribosomal RNA", at positions 34 to 962 of the family's 3401-position model. Lineage: Eukaryota; Fungi; Ascomycota; Leotiomycetes; Helotiales; Ploettnerulaceae. The record is from RNAcentral.